RNAcentral lists this ribosomal RNA (492 nucleotides) under uncultured bacterium. RNAcentral's name for it is "bacterial SSU rRNA". It matches the Rfam family "Bacterial small subunit ribosomal RNA", at positions 28 to 517 of the family's 1533-position model. The record is from RNAcentral.
GGCGAACGCUGGCGGCGUGCCUAACACAUGCAAGUCAGGGAGAAUAGGGUAGCAAUAUCCUUAGUAAACCGGCGAACGGGUGAGUAACACGUAGAUAAUCAACCUUGAAGUUGGGGACAACCUCGCGAAAGCGGGGCUAAUACCGAAUGACACAACCGGUUCUUAUGGAUUGGUUGUCAAAGCUUCCGAGCGCUUCAAGACGAGUCUGCGUCCGAUUAGCUAGUUGGUGAGGUAAUGGCUCACCAAGGCUACGAUCGGUAGCCGACCUGAGAGGGUGAUCGGCCACACUGGGACUGAGAUACGGCCCAGACUCCUACGGGAGGCAGCAGUGAGGAAUAUUGGUCAAUGGACGAAAGUCUGAACCAGCAACGCCGCGUGAGGGAUGAAGCACCAAGGUGUGUAAACCUCUGUUAGAGGGGACGAACGAUCCCGAUCUUCGGGAUGUGACGGUACCCUCAGAGAAAGCCCCGGCUAACUCCGUGCCAGCAGCCG